This 1334-nucleotide long non-coding RNA is filed under the name Manihot esculenta (cassava). RNAcentral describes it as "long non-coding RNA (MESC_LNC000647)". Lineage: Eukaryota; Viridiplantae; Streptophyta; Magnoliopsida; Malpighiales; Euphorbiaceae. The record is from RNAcentral.
UUUAAUGUCAAAACAAUCUGUAAUCACGGUGUCCCCUUCUCAACUUGAUGGAACCUUCCACGAUUAUCUUCCUGUCAUAGAAUUCAAGUGAAUAUCUACUUGGUUAGUUGGUUUUAACACAUCUACUGAUCUACCUAACAACUAACAAGAUGCAAUUUGAUUGAGCCUAUUCAAAGUUGGACUUACAUUGAUGGAUUGUGUGUGAAUAACACUAGUAGGCGAACUGUGUGUGUAAAUUUAAGAAGGCUAGAAAAACUAAUUUAGGCCAGGAAGUGGUCUCACAAACAGAAGAAACUAUCAAGAAAUCCAAUCUAUACUUGUCCAAUGUUGGUCUAACAAAUAGACGAAAUCAUCAAGAAACCUAAUCUACACUUGUCCAAUGUUGGUCUAACAAAUAGACGAAAUCGUCAAGAAACGUAAUCUACACUUGUGAAUUGUCUGUGUCGUGGGUCUAGGUUGUUAAACAAGUUCAAAUUUCGAAAUUGACAAUACAACUCAAUACAUUGUCUUGGCAAUUUUCUUUGGGACUUAGUUUUGUAAUAGGUUUCAAUGCUCUUUAAGAAAGCAAAUCUAACAGACCGCAAACUGUGGUGACUGAAUAAGCAAUUAUACCUAAAUAGUAUAAAGGUCAGAUAAACUGGCAAGAACGAAAAGAAAAGAAAAGAAAAGAAAAGAAAAGAAAAGAAAAGAAAAUACAAUAAAAGAAAAAAAAAGUGUCCCUUCGUUACUGUUUUUUUACAAUGCAAGGAUUGUAUUUAUAAAGUCAAAAGGACUCAAGAAACAGAGGAAAUUAAAAAUAUGUAUACAGCUCAAAUUAAACUAAAAGAGUAAAAUACAACCAAACCAACCUAAAACUAACUCAAAAUCUACUCAACCGGCCACAGAACCCAGAACCCAAUGCACUGUAUGGAGAGAAAUUCUGAUCGCCAUCAUUACAAGAAGCCAAAACCCCAUCAGCAUCAUCACCGAUCAAAAUGAAGAAUUAGCCAAACAGAAGGCAACAACAAUAAAGAGAGGACAAAUACUCAAGAAGUCCAAAUUGAAAGCUCCAGGAUGAAUAGUCUAUACUAAAAUAGAACACAAAUAUGAAGCAGCCCGUACCAAAAUUAAAUAGCAUGAGAAGGAGACACUAUAGAAUCUAGUGCCAACAUAGGCUAAUGAGAGAGUGAUUCUUCAGGCAUAGCAAGGCGGCCAAUAUCGAGUUAUCAAUCCUUGACACAAAUCUCAUAGGGAGGUCAACUUUCAGUCAAUAGACAAUUCGGACUUGUAAAAUUAUAUAAAAAAAAAAAAGCAUCGUCAACAAGGAAACCAAUCCGUUGGUUACUUAGUACACC